AAAAUUCAUUCGACGUUCUUCACGGGAAUUACAAAAUCGUGAUCGUCGCGCGUGUGUCACGCUGCCAGCGAACGCAUUUAAUUGCGCUUAAUUCGUUCGAAUCGUUCGACUCGACGAAUCGGACGGGAUCGUCGUCGAGAUUCAAGAGCCGCAGCAUUUCUUUGCCAGCGAUUUUCGUAGAUAGGCGUACGAUGAUACGUACGUUGGUUCCUGGGCGAUCGUAGGGAUGACAGAUAUUGGAAACGCUCACCGAUAAUUAGGACGGAGUGCAUAAACAGUAUGCCCUUUCUCGAGGACGGCGCCGCGUACGACAGCGCGAAACAAAAGUUCGCCAGCUGGAACAGUAUGUGUUGCGGUUGCUGCCAGAGGCACAAGGCCGUGUUACCUGCAACGCGGUGAUCCAUCGGAAUUAGACAUGCACAGACGCGCACAGUUGUAUCAGAGAACAGAAGUGUCACCUGGGAUUUACCUAGUGCUGUGAUAUUGUACGAAGGAAGUGGGUCAUGUCCGAGACCGGGGCUCAUCUUGCCUAUCGGUGAUUGGAGUUAAAGGGAGAGGAAGAACGACUGCCUCGAGGGCGCGGCGUAUGCAUCGCGCAGGGGCGCUUGCGCCGGCCUUUCGCGAUCGAUUGUUCUUCAGGGUUGGUCAUGCAGGGUUGCUCGCCGAUGCUCCGAGGGAGGAUAUCUACCGAAGGCAAGGACAAAGUAGGACAAAGUUGCAUCGACGAUGGCAACGAGUCGCACACCAGUCGCCGAAUGUUUUAAGUUUUAUCGACGCAAGGUACUGCGACUGCUUCGAUAACUUUCAGACAGUGCAGUUCUUGCCUACGUUUAAUAACAGCCAGCUUUCCGACGAGCAAUAAUAUUCUGCUUGCCUACGUAUAAUAAUUGCCUGCGUGCAAUAAUAGCCAGCUUUCCGACAUAUAAUACAGCCCAGCUUGACUGCAUAUAAUAAUUGCCCGCGUGCAAUAAUAACCAGCUUUCCAACGUACAAUAAUAUUCAGCUAAUAAUUGGACUGCGGAUCUUCGCGGAGAAUAAACAUUUUCCAAGGCGAUUAAACGGAAAUCGAAUGGAAAUAAGUUCUUUCUUUUAAUCGUUUUCGUAGACUGAAAAUAGUACGACUAUAUUAUCAAAUUCUUCUUGUAUAUUCGUAAUUCUAUAUUUCAGAUACACUCUUUCGUCACAGAUGCACUGCAAGUGCACUGCGGUGCAAUAAUAAUGCAACCGUUGCACUUCUGUUCGUGACGAUCUGAAACACCUGAUAAAUACGAAUAAUACUUUUAUUCUAUUUUCGAGCAAUUUUUCAGUUCUUGAGAUUAAUUAAUUCGGAUGAAAUUGAAGAGAAAAACAGAGAUUUUCGUAAAGAUGUCUUUUUUAGCACUGAUCGCAGCCUCCAUUUCUUAAACAGCGUUAGAAUCAUCGCAUUUGGAUGUGAACGAUUCCAUUGAAGCAUUGAAGGAGGAAAUUGUUUGAAAAAAAUAGUGAUCUUACAGUUUUCGAGAGCAGCGAUAUCUUUCUUAAGGAUUAGGUGUAUCAGAAAGACGCGAGCGAGGGUGUCAUCCGAGGGAACAUUCUCGCAGUGGCUUACGAAUACCGGAUGCAAUUAAAUAGAGUUCGAUCGAGGGAGUUAUAAGCUUUAAGUUACCGCGGACUGGUCAGUGUGCGCAGAGUUUAUAAGGUAUGCAUAACAGGCUAUCCCUUCUAAUCCCUUUCGAAACACCCAUCCCGUGCCAUGCGUAUAAUAACCAUCGCUAAAACAACGAAUUUCUAAACCAAUUCAUGUUAUUUUGCAGUAAUAUACGAAACUCGUAGCUGACAGUUAUUAUGAAUUAUUUGCAAACACCUAUUCAUAGCUCUCAAUAAUUUAUGCAAUUACUUAGCUGGCUUAAUUAAGACGUUGGCCGUCGCAUAAAAUGUCCAUAAAUAUCAUUUUUACAGUCGUUUUCUGAUCGUCGGAUUAUCAUGUUAUUUGUUAAUCUCGAUUACAAAGCUUGUCAAGCAAGCUCCACUAAUAACAUCGAAUUAGUUAUAAUGACACUGUGUUAUUACAUCGGAUAAAUUUGCCGCGAGAAGCGCGUCACGAUCGAAUUGAUUAACACGUUACGUCCCUGAUACAUUUACAACACCUGGAAAAUGUUGAACGUACCAUACUCGCGCUGUAGUUCGCGAAGAUUCUGGGAAGCUUUCCGAAGAACAGCGUCAGCUCCGAACUUCACACGGGCUGCAGUUUUUUGCACCUGCGCCGGAUUCGAUAGCUCCCUCCGAACUGACAAUCUUGGUUCAGCAUCAGCACGUCCUGGAAAACGUUCUCUCAUUCUCGUCUCAACACGUCGCUUGUCUCAAUGCCUCGCGGUGCGUAUCGAGCUUGGAAGAGCGUUCAGCCACUCCUGCGACACUUGAACAGCGCAGACAAAACAGAUUCGGGAUUCCAACUUGCGCCGAAUCAACUGUGAUAUCUCUGAACUUUAGAAAACGAAUCCACCUUUGCAGGCUAGAGCGGUCCAAUUGCGCCAACAUCGAGAAUCAGAUUGGGUUCGUACGGCGGCCUCGGUUCCGGUUGACGAUAUCAGAGUUUGAAGAUUAUCUCCGAUGCUUCUCUGUACUUUUUCGCAAAGUAACCCAUUUAUUUUGGCUAUGAAUAAAUCAUUUGAAGCCUCAGAUCAUUUAAAGCAACUUCUUCCUUUACAAAAAUAUUCUCCGAGGCACCGUUAACG
Megalopta genalis is the source of this 2714-nucleotide non-coding RNA. NCBI's taxonomy places the organism in Eukaryota, Metazoa, Arthropoda, Insecta, Hymenoptera, Halictidae. The record is from RefSeq and is a predicted model, not a curated record.